This 734-nucleotide ribosomal RNA is filed under the name uncultured archaeon. RNAcentral's name for it is "bacterial SSU rRNA". It matches the Rfam family "Archaeal small subunit ribosomal RNA", at positions 21 to 756 of the family's 1478-position model. The record is from RNAcentral.
GGUUACUGCUAUCGGUGUUCGCCUAAGCCAUGCGAGUCAUAUGUUCGUAAGAACAUGGCGUACUGCUCAGUAACACGUGGAUAACCUGCCCUUGGGUCCGGCAUAACCCCGGGAAACUGGGGAUAAUUCCGGAUAACGCACAUAUGCUGGAAUGCUUUUUGCGUAAAAUGGAUUCGUCUGCCCAAGGAUGGGUCUGCGGCCUAUCAGGUAGUAGUGGGUGUAAUGUACCUACUAGCCUACGACGGGUACGGGUUGUGAGAGCAAGAGCCCGGAGAUGGAUUCUGAGACAUGAAUCCAGGCCCUACGGGGCGCAGCAGGCGCGAAAACUUUACAAUGCGGGAAACCGUGAUAAGGGGACACCGAGUGCCAGCAUCCUAUGCUGGCUGUCCGGGUGUGUAAAAUACACCUGUUAGCAAGGGCCGGGCAAGACCGGUGCCAGCCGCCGCGGUAACACCGGCGGCCCGAGUGGUGAUCGUGAUUAUUGGGUCUAAAGGGUCCGUAGCCGGUUUGGUCAGUCCUCCGGGAAAUCUGACAGCUCAACUGUUAGGCUAUCGGAGGAUACUGCCAGACUUGGAACCGGGAGAGGUAAGAGGUACUACAGGGGUAGGAGUGAAAUCUUGUAAUCCCUGUGGGACCACCUGUGGCGAAGGCGUCUUACCAGAACGGGUUCGACGGUGAGGGACGAAAGCUGGGGGCACGAACCGGAUUAGAUACCCGGGUAGUCCCAGCCGUAA